GAUGAAGAACGUAGCGAAAUGCGAUAAGUAAUGUGAAUUGCAGAAUUCAGUGAAUCAUCGAAUCUUUGAACGCAUCUUGCGCUCCUUGGUAUUCCGAGGAGCAUGCCUGUUUGAGUGUCAUUUAACUUCUCAACCACAUUGGAUAUUUUUUUUUCCGAUGCCGGCUUGGAUGUGGGGGUUGUUUGCAGGCUUUUUGUAACAAAAAAGGUCGGCUCCCCUGAAAUGUAUUAGUGGUAUCUGAGGCUAUUACUAUUAGGUGUGAUAAUUAUCUAUGCCUUUUGGGUAUGCCGCAUGAACAGAUUAUGCUGCUUCUAACGAAAACUAUUUUGAUGAAUUUGACCUCAAAUCAGGUAGGACUACCCGCUGAACUUAAGCAUAUCAAUAAGCGGAGGA
This 393-nucleotide unclassified non-coding RNA is filed under the name soil metagenome. RNAcentral's name for it is "partial contains 5.8S ribosomal RNA, internal transcribed spacer 2, and large subunit ribosomal RNA". The stretch from base 1 to 120 matches the Rfam family "5.8S ribosomal RNA", at positions 35 to 154 of the family's 154-position model. The record is from RNAcentral.